Molecule: non-coding RNA, 3158 nt
Organism: Vicugna pacos (alpaca)
Lineage: Eukaryota; Metazoa; Chordata; Mammalia; Artiodactyla; Camelidae
Source: RefSeq, a predicted model, not a curated record
CCCCACCCCCCCAGGUUAUAGAUGGUCCUUGACUUACAACAGUUUGACUUACUGAUUUUUUUGACUUUACAAUGGUGUGACAGCAACACACAUUCAGCAGAAACAGUUUUUGCAUUUUGAUCUUCUGGGCUAGUGAUUUGAGGCUGCGCGGUGGGUACCCCGCAGCUAGCUCCCAGUCAGCCACACAGCCUUGAAGGCGAACGGCAAUUCUGUAUCCACACAACCGUUCUGUGUUGCACCGUAUCAGUAGUGUAUUCAAUAAGCCACAUGAGGUACUCAGCACUAUUAUAAAAUGGGCUUUAUGUUAGAUGUUUUUGCCCAGCUGUAGGCUAAUGUAAGUGUUCCGAGCACAUUUAAGGUUGGUUAAGUGUAUUAAUUGCAUUUUUGAUUUAGGGCAUUUUCAACUGAAUGAUGGGUUUAUCGAUUUGUAACCCCAUUGUAAGUCUAGGAAGAUCUGUACUUUGUUAGUACCAUGGUUAGGAGGUCAGUAUCUGUAUCCACAGCCCGGGGAUGUUUAUGACCUGUAAAAUGAGAACAUCUCAGCGUGCUUAGCAUGAUGCCAGGUCAAUGGAUGACAGCUACAAUGAUCCACGCUGCAGUUUCCUGAAGCUUCAGGAUGCAAUGGCAUUCACGUAAGGAAGCCUCCUCCCAUCUUGUGCUAGACAAGGAGGCUCUUUAUAAAGAGCUCACUGCGGGUUGGUUUUCCCUCUUGAGGAAUCAUUCCGGUUUUUACUCCGCCUUGAUGGGCUUCUCAGGCUGUCAUGGUCUUGCUCUGUCGGCAGGGGGCAGCAACCACCAGAAAGCGGGCCAGGCGCGAUCUGGGUCUUAAGUGCUGCACGCAAUUACAGAAAAGCUGAAUCCCGUCAAGAGACCAAGCGACACUCAGAGGGUUGGAGAACUCAGGUUUAUUUACACCGGCGGGCCCAGAGGAGUUAAUAUUCCCGGCUCUGGACCCUGAUUGCAAGUUUGUAUGAGCUUUUACAGGGUUUUAGGAACAAAGAAAUCACGUGGUCUUAGGUUUUUCUGCGGGGUGGGAAGGGGUUAGUUUCGGUUUCCCUAAAGCAGGCUGUUUUACAGAAGCAUAAAAGCAAAGCACUAAGCAAUUUCUCUGUCUGGGAGGCCCUGCUGAUCCUUGUGGGCCUUUUGAGCUCCAGUUCCCCGGCCCUCCAGCCAGGUCUGAAUCAAUGCCCCCACCUAAGUUCCUCAAAGCGCUUUUGACUUAUUGGGGUCAAUCCUGAUUCCAUCUCCCUCAACAGUCAACAUGGUGCAGUAGGCAUUGUGACUCCAUGUCACUCAGUAGAGUGACUGUAUGUCAUGUAUGAUCUAAACUGGGGCACUCCAGUGUGAAGGGGGUAGACGUAACGCAGGAUUGAAAAGCACCUGAUCGCGCUGUCCAGAGAGGGCAUCACUGCCCUGCCCUGCCACGAGGCUCUGUGCGCACGUUGAAUGAGCCCACACAGCUCCUCUGUGCUUUGGUGUUCCAGUCUGCAAGAAGAGAGGCUGAACUGGGUAGAUAAUUUCUGAGGUUGUCUAAACCAAAAUCACUAAAAUUAUAUGGUUAGUGGGGAAGGCUGGGGCCCGUCAGAGGGGUUUUGGUGGAGAAUGUGAGACAGUGGGGGGGUUCGAAGUCAGAGCAUGAGAACUUCCAGGCUGGGGUUGAUUAGGGCAGUGGAGGACAGCUGGACAUUGCUGCUUUGGCUGUGAGGUGAUGACUGUCCACUGUGGUGGAGGAACUUGCAGUGCUGGGCGGUGGUGUGUCCUUCCCCACAGCCGGCAGGUGGCGCUCACAGCACAGCAGGGAUAAACCAGCUGACAUACAUCACCGUAGUUGGGGGAGGGGGUGUCAAGAUGAGUUUCUUUCCCAUUUAGGAUAGAGGAACGUUGUGAUCUAGGAUAGAAUGGCGAUUGGGGCCGUGGAGUUUGGCAAGAGGAGACGCUCCUUCCACAGCUGCGGCUUCAUCUCACAGGCCUGCGCUGCCCUCUUCCUUUUCCUCUGCUUGUGACUUCUGUGAUAACAGGCAGAAGGGCAGGGGCUGCUCCACGUCCACCAGGAGGGGAUUUCAGCCGCGCCUUCUUUGGAGCUCACAGGAAACAUCCUGAUCAGACCUGCCUGUGGAUGGCUGCAAGAAACAAGAAAUUAACACAUCCCCUCUGCAGUCUGAGUCUGGCCAGAACCAGGAAAUACUUGCAACAAUUUAUCGUCUUUUUACUUUACCUCUUCACCUCCCCCGUAUUUGUUCUAUAAAAGAAACUAGCAUCCAAACGUGGGCAAGAUGGUUCUUUGGGACACUAGUCCACCAUCUUCUCGGUCGGCUGCUUUCCCAAAUGAACUCACUGUUCCUUGCCCCAACAACUUGUCUCUUGAUUUAUUGGCCUGUCAUGCAGCAGGCAGUAAGAACUUGGACUCAGUAACAUUUCAAGUCACAAUUCAAGUCCCCUACCCUGCUAUGCCCCUUUUCAUGUUUAUAAUGGGAGCCAGGAAACACUUUCUGGCCCUGUGAAUUAGUGAGUGGGGAAAAAUGCUUUGGAACUAGUAGUAGAAGCUUUGGGGUGACAUUUUCCCUCUUUUACUCAUCUCCUCUCACAUCCCCGUGGCAGUUGGGUGCAGAGACUCAACUCAUAUUAAGGAACAGUCUCGGAAGCAUCCUCAUGGGGGGCCCAGAUUCCAGCCUGCACUGUCCCUGUAACCUUGGUCUCCGAGGGUUUCCUCGCAGGGUUGCUGAGGGUGGUGCAAGAUCAUGCACAGUGCCCUGCACGUCAGGCCCUGCAGCCCUGCCCCUUCUCACCUGACCCUUGGCUGUACACCUUUAUUUGACUCAUCCACUUCUCAGGUGAACAAACGUGGGCCUUGAGAUGACACCUCACUCCUGGCCCCAUACGUGAUGAAUUCUGUCUCCACUUCUUGAACUAAACUAAAAAGCUAGGACUCAGGGAUAGGAUCCUCAUGGUUGGCCUGGUGGUUUCUUCACACACGACAACCACCUCUUUAUUCUCCCUCCAGGCCCCAAGCAGUAGGAUUUCCACAGACCAAGGGUCCGUGCCCUCAUCUGACUCUCACUUAUUCCAAGCCCCAGGCUCAGACCAGCCCUGCACGUCUGCACUCCUGGAUCACGAGCUCCCUGGGAAAUGAUGGGUGGGAGUGCGGUGGCAGCAGCUGC